GGCUCAGGAUGAACGCUAGCUACAGGCUUAACACAUGCAAGUCGAGGGGAAACGAUAUUGGAAGCUUGCUUCCGAUAGGCGUCGACCGGCGCACGGGUGAGUAACGCGUAUCCAACCUGCCCACCACUUGGGGAUAACCUUGCGAAAGUAAGACUAAUACCCAAUGAUAUCUCUAGAAGACAUCUGAAAGAGAUUAAAGAUUUAUCGGUGAUGGAUGGGGAUGCGUCUGAUUAGCUUGUUGGCGGGGUAACGGCCCACCAAGGCGACGAUCAGUAGGGGUUCUGAGAGGAAGGUCCCCCACAUUGGAACUGAGACACGGUCCAAACUCCUACGGGAGGCAGCAGUGAGGAAUAUUGGUCAAUGGACGAGAGUCUGAACCAGCCAAGUAGCGUGCAGGACGACGGCCCUAUGGGUUGUAAACUGCUUUUAUGCGGGGAUAAAGUGGGCCACGCGUGGCCUUUUGCAGGUACCGCAUGAAUAAGGACCGGCUAAUUCCGUG
This 499-nucleotide ribosomal RNA is filed under the name uncultured bacterium. RNAcentral describes it as "bacterial SSU rRNA". It matches the Rfam family "Bacterial small subunit ribosomal RNA", at positions 21 to 507 of the family's 1533-position model. The record is from RNAcentral.